UUUCGCAAUGCCCGAAAGGGUGACGAAGCGACGCCGCGUGUGGGAAGAAGGCCUUCGGGUUGUAAACCACUGUCGGGAGUUAAGAAGUGUAGUGGGGCGAAUAGCGCCACUACUUGACUAAGGCUCCAGAGGAAGCCACGGCUAACUCUGUGCCAGCAGCCGCGGUAAUACAGAGGUGGCAAGCGUUGUUCGGAAUUAUUGGGCGUAAAGAGCACGUAGGCGGCUAUGUAAGUCGGUUGUGAAAGCCUUCCGCUCAACGGGAGAACAGCAUCCGAUACUGCAUGGCUUGAGUGCGGGAGGGGAGAGUGGAACUUCUGGUGGAGCGGUGAAAUGCGUAGAUAUCAGAAGGAACGCCGGCGGCGAAAGCGGCUCUCUGGCCCAUAACUGACGCUGAGUGUGCGAAAGCUAGGGGAGCAAACGGGAUUAGAUACCCCGGUAGUCCUAGCCGUAAACGAUGGGCACUAAGUAGAGGGGUUUUA
Molecule: ribosomal RNA, 479 nt
Filed under: uncultured bacterium
Lineage: Bacteria
Description: bacterial SSU rRNA
Rfam family: Bacterial small subunit ribosomal RNA
Source: RNAcentral